GUCUACGGCCAUACCACCCAGAAUGCUCCUGAUCUCAUCUGAUCUCAGAAGCUAAGCAGGGUUGGGCCUGGUUAGUACUUGGAAGGGAGAUAAAAUCUUCAUCUGAUCAUCACUUUUGUCAAGAGGAUGACAGAGAUC
This 138-nucleotide ribosomal RNA is filed under the name Chinchilla lanigera (long-tailed chinchilla). Lineage: Eukaryota; Metazoa; Chordata; Mammalia; Rodentia; Chinchillidae. The record is from RNAcentral.